RNAcentral lists this transfer RNA (70 nucleotides) under Indotyphlus maharashtraensis. RNAcentral describes it as "tRNA-Phe". It matches the Rfam family "tRNA". From Rfam's summary of the family: Transfer RNA (tRNA) molecules are approximately 80 nucleotides in length. Their secondary structure includes four short double-helical elements and three loops (D, anti-codon, and T loops). The record is from RNAcentral. Lineage: Eukaryota; Metazoa; Chordata; Amphibia; Gymnophiona; Indotyphlidae.
GUUUAUGUAGCUUAAUUUAAAGCAUGGCACUGAAAAUGCUAAGAUGAGACUUAAUUUUUCCCCAUAAACA